RNAcentral lists this ribosomal RNA (158 nucleotides) under uncultured Pseudomonas sp. RNAcentral's name for it is "partial 16S ribosomal RNA". It matches the Rfam family "Bacterial small subunit ribosomal RNA", at positions 356 to 506 of the family's 1533-position model. The record is from RNAcentral. Lineage: Bacteria; Pseudomonadati; Pseudomonadota; Gammaproteobacteria; Pseudomonadales; Pseudomonadaceae.
GGGGAAUAUUGGACAAUGGGCGAAAGCCUGAUCCAGCCAUGCCGCGUGUGUGAAGAAGGUCUUCGGAUUGUAAAGCACUUUAAGUUGGGAGGAAGGGCAGUAAGCGAAUACCUUGCUGUUUUGACGUUACAAACAGAAUAAGCACCGGCUAACUCUGU